AUGUCGCGGCUAUAAAAAUCCUCCGUAUCUAUUAGUCACGUCGUACAAUGUUCACGAGCGGCGCGGCGCGGCGUAACUUUUUAGCCCACGGACCAUCGCGCUCGUUUGUUCGAUUACGGAAUCACUGAAUCGUUUCCGCGCGCCAAAUGCGACGCUAUUUCGUCCGUGAAAUAAGAAAAAAAAAGUUUGCUCGGUGACGAACGGUGCAGAACGAAUGGCGACAUUUUAAAAGAUGUAUCGUUGAGAUUCACGGCGGCGCAGCGUUGAAAACCCGAUCUCCCCCUGUAGCAUUAUGUGAUCUCUUAACGUAAACGUGAUCCUCUUUACCAUGCAGCGCUAUCGCGAAUAUUUCACGGGAUAACGCCGGGGCAUGUCGGGAACCGAUUAACGAACGAGCACGGAACUGCUCUUGUUUCGCGCUAAAUCCAGAUGAGCUAAAAACACGUCCCGACGCGUAUUCGUUAACAUCGGUCGUUCUGCCAAUGUGCGGAGGAGAGAGAGAGAGAGAGAGAGAGAGAGAGAGAGAGAAAAAAAAAAGGGAAGGCGCUACACCGGAGCAUUUCCAUAAUCCAAGUUCAUCCCCGGCGUCGCGUCGCAUUUUUACGAAUGUGCGCGACAUAAAAUUCCGUCCGUACGGGCCUUGUUCGUUUCGCGAAACAAGAAGAGAAGAAGACGCGAUGGGUUGUCACGCUGGAAAACGAAGGGAUCGCCAGUCCAGAGAGGCAAAGGUCGCGCGGACAUUAUCCUCGUCCAACUGAAAGAAGAGAUGAUACCGGACGCGAAAGGAACAGAAUGAAAGCGAAGGAAGAUGGAAAUAAACUGGAUGACGCGAAAGGGAAAAAUGGAAUGAUAUAAGAGGAAGAAAUAGGAAGUGGAAAAGGCAGAAUAGAGUAGACAGAAGUGGAGAGGCUGAGACAGAUAAAAAGGGUACAAAUAGAAAAUAAAAACAAAGAACACGAUGUGUGAAAAGAAGGAGAAAGGAAAAAGAGAGAGAGAGAGAGAGAGAGAGAAGGGGAGCGGAGGGAGGAGUGUUCAGAGUCUCGGUAUUUCACCAUGAAACCAUGUAACUUCCGACGGAAUGUACAGUGGCAAUGGUCGCGUGUAUAUAUCACUUCUACCCUUAACCACCGACCACCACCCUCCACGAGUAUACGGCGUCAGCGACGUUCGUAGAGGCGCUCGCUGACCGUGACGCAUUUUACGCUACGUGCUCGCUGUCGCGCUGACUGAAAUAUGUGACUGAAAACACGCGACACAUUCGAAAUUGCUGUCUUCGGCAUGCGGCCCGAGUCACUCGGUCGAGUCUCUAUCGAGUAAGAGGCAUUGAGACAUGUCACUGCAUUGUUGCUCAAGCUGUAGCCGCUGUAGCCAGGGGCGGAGACCCGAGAGAUUUAUUCGACGAUGAGAAAAUAUUUCUAAAAUCGCGCGAUAUAUCGACGAACGCAAUUAAGUGUAAACGAUAUCAUAUAUGCGCAACGAUUUGGAGGACAGCGAUCCAGCUAGACAUUUCUAUUAUUUAUACGGAGAUUACGUGGAGAGAGAGAGAGAGAGAGAGAGAGAGAGAGAGAACGAGAGAGAGGAAAGUUGUCUGGCAUUCGGUGAGCUUUUCGUAACAAGAUUAUUUCUCAAUCGCCUCUACUCCGGAUGCUCGCGAGCGGAUUGAGAAAUAAAGGACGACUGUGAAGCAAGGAUCAUGGACUUGAAGACUUUUUCGAUAGUGUCCGAAGAUUCACGGGACUGUAUUUUUUUUUUGUCUCUUUCCCUUUUUGUUUUUCUGCCAUCUGUCUGUCCAUCAGGCAGAUCCGAUCUUUUUGAGGAGGGCUGAAUAAUAGAACAGAGUCAUCGCGUAGCUCGAGGCUGGCCAACCUGUAUUCUCGCACCCUCGGACUAGUCCGGAAUAGUUGUGAAUAACGAUGCUCGAGAGAGCGCCGGCCCCUUGUCGGUGCUGGCGCUCCAAGUACCAGAGCCAUCAACCCAACCCUACCAACGUCCCCUUUUUCGCUCGCUACAGAAGAGAGCAGCAUAUAGAGUUGUGUGUAUGUGUGUUGGCUAUACUUUCUAUAAAAUAAAAUACAUGUCGCCACCGCCUUCUCAUACCAGACACAUGCGGAAGACAACGAGAAGAAGAAGAGGAGAGAAGAAGUGCUUUCGUCUCUUGUUUCUCCAUCCCUCCUAAACACGACGUGACGUGAAAGGCAAAGAGAACGAAGGAUAUCGAGUUUGAGCGCCAAUCGAUGGCGAGGCUUCAAUCGCCGACUGACGUAAACAGAUAUAUUUUUUUUGCAUCUCGUUUAAUUACGUGUCCAGAAAAUUAUAUUUUAAUUUUAAUUCAAAUGCAAUUACUAUAAUAAAUGUAACCAAACUAUAAGGUUGAAAAAUUAAAUAAUCAUAUUUUUCUCAUUGUGUGUGAAAAAGUAAAUGGUAUUGCAAAAAUAAAUGCGCAAAAAUUUUGGUCAUUUUAUUUUAACAAAAUUAUCACACACACGCGUGAAAUAGAGCGAGAAAGAGAGAGAGAGAGAGAGAGAGAAAUUCGUCCUGUGCCGAUACUGUCAUUUCCAAAAAAUAUCAACGUAAAAUUUUUUAUUGCACAUUUUAUGAGCUAAUAAAAUAACGUGCUCAUGAAAGUAUACGUAAAUCGUUCACUUUUCAAUUAACCGGAUAAAUUGAAACACCAUCGCUGUCAAGGCUUUUGGUGCAGUCUACCGACAUCUAAUUCUACAGGACAAUAUCCAACGUGUUAACCCAGUAGAACAGACAGAGUAAAAUUUGGAAUCAGUUACAUCAAGAUAAACCGAGCUAAAGCGGAGCAAUUAGAGCGCGAGAAGGGCAAAGUCGAGACGGGCGGUGGUCCGCUUGACACUACAUGUUUGGUCGCGGAAGACAAAGCAGAAACCAUUCGGGACGCUCGCCACCACCGCGAGAGUUGACGAGCAAAUGGGGAGAGAACUGGAAAACUUAACAAUGCCCGGAGGUCGUCGUGUCACGGGGAAGGAAGGCCAAAAAGGCGGAGUUUCGUGAAGAGUUUCAGAUCGACAAUCGGAUUGGCGUCCAUCGCGUCUCUAUUCCCGUGACAUAGCGUCGUCAACAAGCGGAUAUCAAUCUUCAGCGGAAGCUACGUCGUCCAGCGAUGUGUACGAACGUCUACUAGACACAUACAAACGUACGUAUCCAGCGAGGGACAUAAAGACGAAAAAGAUGUCUCCAGACAGAAGGACGGUCUCAUGUCGUUUCAACGAUACCACGAUAUUAUCCUCGAGUUUCGUAGAGAACUCGAGUCUUUCGCGAGCGAUGUGCGCGCUUCGUUCCGUUGGAAAAAUAUUUAUUCGACCGCGAUGGAAAGGAGAAGUCUCUCCCUAUAUACUUGCGACAGAAGCGCGCGGUGCAUAACCCGUGUUCCAUGGCCGUGUGUGCGCGCAUCGGCGCGGCGCGGCGGUCCCUUUUGGAUUUCGCCGGCGAAACGAGAGGUCUCAAUCCGCUUGAAGCAGUGAGCGAACACGAGAGUCCGAGAGUGACGCUAGAAAUGAGGUAAAACGAGGUACGUACGUCCCGAUACUGGAGUCUGAUUUCGCAGAGAGCUUUUAGCGACUAAACUGCGCGACUAAUAUCGUAUAAAAGAAUGCAUUUGCGA
Molecule: long non-coding RNA, 3628 nt
Organism: Solenopsis invicta (red fire ant)
Lineage: Eukaryota; Metazoa; Arthropoda; Insecta; Hymenoptera; Formicidae
Exons: 3
Source: RefSeq, a predicted model, not a curated record